This 81-nucleotide transfer RNA is filed under the name Winslowiella arboricola. RNAcentral's name for it is "tRNA-Tyr". The record is from RNAcentral. Lineage: Bacteria; Pseudomonadati; Pseudomonadota; Gammaproteobacteria; Enterobacterales; Erwiniaceae.
GGUGGGGUUCCCGAGCGGCCAAAGGGAGCAGACUGUAAAUCUGCCGUCAUCGACUUCGAAGGUUCGAGUCGAGCGCCAGCG